RNAcentral lists this ribosomal RNA (759 nucleotides) under uncultured bacterium. Its description in RNAcentral is "bacterial SSU rRNA". It matches the Rfam family "Bacterial small subunit ribosomal RNA", at positions 28 to 776 of the family's 1533-position model. The record is from RNAcentral.
AUUGAACGCUGGCGGCAGGCCUAACACAUGCAAGUCGAGCGGCAGCACAGAGAAACUUGUUUCUCGGGUGGCGAGCGGCGGACGGGUGAGUAAUGCCUGGGAAAUUGCCCUGAUGUGGGGGAUAACCAUUGGAAACGAUGGCUAAUACCGCAUGAUGCCUACGGGCCAAAGAGGGGGACCUUCGGGCCUCUCGCGUCAGGAUAUGCCCAGGUGGGAUUAGCUAGUUGGUGAGGUAAGGGCUCACCAAGGCGACGAUCCCUAGCUGGUCUGAGAGGAUGAUCAGCCACACUGGAACUGAGACACGGUCCAGACUCCUACGGGAGGCAGCAGUGGGGAAUAUUGCACAAUGGGCGCAAGCCUGAUGCAGCCAUGCCGCGUGUGUGAAGAAGGCCUUCGGGUUGUAAAGCACUUUCAGUUGUGAGGAAGGUGGUGUCGUUAAUAGCGGCAUCAUUUGACGUUAGCAACAGAAGAAGCACCGGCUAACUCCGUGCCAGCAGCCGCGAUAAUACGGAGGGUGCGAGCGUUAAUCGGAAUUACUGGGCGUAAAGCGCAUGCAGGUGGUUUGUUAAGUCAGAUGUGAAAGCCCGGGGCUCAACCUCGGAACUGCAUUUGAAACUGGCAGACUAGAGUACUGUAGAGGGGGGUAGAAUUUCAGGUGUAGCGGUGAAAUGCGUAGAGAUCUGAAGGAAUACCGGUGGCGAAGGCGGCCCCCUGGACAGAUACUGACACUCAGAUGCGAAAGCGUGGGGAGCAAACAGG